UAUACUGAGGCAUCCUGUAUUGUGAUUGGAAUGAUGGGAAUUUAAACCUCUUCCAGAGUAUCAAUUGGAGGGCAAGUCUGGUGCCAGCAGCCGCGGUAAUUCCAGCUCCAAUAGCGUAUAUUAAAAUUGUUGCAGUUAAAAAGCUCGUAGUUGAAAUUCGCUGCAGUUCCAUUCCCUUUCUGAUUUUGAUUUUGCAGCUUAUUUCCGUUGGAUUUUUUCUUUCUUUAUUAUUAGGUUGAUUUAAUGAAAGUUCUCGGAGCAAGCUUUGGCCUUUUAUACAUUAGCUUGGAAAGAUAAAAUAAGACUUGAGUUCCUUUUGUUUUUUUUAGGUGCCGUACCCCCUUCUCAUGUAACAAGAGAAGGAAGGAUUGGGUAAUGACUGUGUUGCUUGUACCUACCUGCGUGAGU
RNAcentral lists this ribosomal RNA (408 nucleotides) under Theileria sergenti. RNAcentral describes it as "bacterial SSU rRNA". It matches the Rfam family "Eukaryotic small subunit ribosomal RNA", at positions 487 to 911 of the family's 1831-position model. The record is from RNAcentral. Lineage: Eukaryota; Apicomplexa; Aconoidasida; Piroplasmida; Theileriidae.